This 75-nucleotide transfer RNA is filed under the name Denitrovibrio sp. RNAcentral's name for it is "tRNA-Glu". It matches the Rfam family "tRNA". From Rfam's summary of the family: Transfer RNA (tRNA) molecules are approximately 80 nucleotides in length. Their secondary structure includes four short double-helical elements and three loops (D, anti-codon, and T loops). The record is from RNAcentral. Lineage: Bacteria; Pseudomonadati; Deferribacterota; Deferribacteres; Deferribacterales; Geovibrionaceae.
GUCCCCAUCGUCUAGCCUGGCCUAGGACACCGCCCUUUCGAGGCGGCGACCGGGGUUCGAAUCCCCGUGGGGACG